RNAcentral lists this long non-coding RNA (1071 nucleotides) under Sus scrofa (pig). RNAcentral's name for it is "lncRNA (ENSSSCG00070022463.1)". The record is from RNAcentral. Lineage: Eukaryota; Metazoa; Chordata; Mammalia; Artiodactyla; Suidae.
AUGACAUGUUUGGAAACAGAGGCUUUGCCGAUGUCAUCAGUUAAAGUGAGGUCUCGCUGGCUUAGCGUGGGCCCCUAUCCAAUGCCUGGUGUCCCUGUAAGGAGGGGACACCCAGAGGGAAAGGCCAGGAGGCACAGAGGCGGAGAGCAGAGGGAUGCAGGUGCAAGACAGGCCUGUGAGGGAUUCUGGCCACCGCAGGAGCUGGAGGUGGCAGGAAAGAUGCCCCCAGGGGGAGACGGCCCUGCAGGCCCUGCUCAGGACCGCUGGCCUCCAGAGCGACAAGUUCUGUGGCUUUCAGCCCCCCCGUGGUGCUCUGUUACUGCAGCCACCAGAAGCCCACACAUCCAGACGUGGCCCAUGGGUGGGGUUCAGGCCACUUUAGUUACAGAGACACUGGGGAGAUGGGAGGCCCUGGUCACAGCCGAAAGGAAAAUGCAGCAUGAGCCGGUGCUUCUGGGCGGAGCCCGUGUGUCCCCUCAGGCCUGUGGCUGCCGGGCUCCAGGGUCCCGGCACCUGAUCCCACAUAGCUCCAGCUCGCACUGGAGCUGCCCCUUCCAGGCCUGCAGACCUGGGUGGCCAGGUACAGGUCAGGGGCAGGUGUGUCCGGGCGCUCACUGGUGGCCUCGCUCUCACAGUGUGUCCUGGUGGCCUCAGGGGGCCGUGAGGUCAGGGCUUUCUCCGGAGGCACAGCAAGUCCUGAGCGUGCCAAACCGCAGGCCAUGCACACGGGGUCAGCGGGGUUGCAACCAUAACGCGGGGUUCCGAUCUUGCCCCCGAGAAGGUCUGGAUACAUUUUUCCUGAAAAAUCAAACAACCCGUUAUUCCAGUGUCUUCAGAACCCCUGCUUUGAGGACUCCUCGGCCAGGGAGUCUGCCUUUUGAGACUAGGCACUGGACUCCAAGCAGAAGGCCCCACACCCACAGAAAGAAGGAUGGGGCAGGGGCUGCCUGGGGCAGAGAUUGUUCUGAAAGGCCUGGAGGUGGGGGCGCAGCGGGAAGAGCCCUGAGUUCUCAGUCUGUCCCAGUAGAAGCAGGCCCACCCCAGGCAGCAGAGUGCGAGGCCGCAGGCUAG